GACGCUGGCGGCGUGCCUAAUACAUGCAAGUCGAACGCACUUUCGUUAGAUUGAAGAAGCUUGCUUCUGAUUGAUAACAUUUGAGUGAGUGGCGGACGGGUGAGUAACACGUGGGUAACCUGCCCUAAAGUGGGGGAUAACAUUUGGAAACAGAUGCUAAUACCGCAUAAAACCUAGCACCGCAUGGUGCAAGGUUGAAAGAUGGUUUCGGCUAUCACUUUAGGAUGGACCCGCGGUGCAUUAGUUAGUUGGUGAGGUAAAGGCUCACCAAGACCGUGAUGCAUAGCCGACCUGAGAGGGUAAUCGGCCACACUGGGACUGAGACACGGCCCAGACUCCUACGGGAGGCAGCAGUAGGGAAUCUUCCACAAUGGACGAAAGUCUGAUGGAGCAACGCCGCGUGAGUGAAGAAGGUUUUCGGAUCGUAAAACUCUGUUGUUGGAGAAGAACGUAUUUGAUAGUAACUGAUCAGGUAGUGACGGUAUCCAACCAGAAAGCCACGGCUAACUACGUG
RNAcentral lists this ribosomal RNA (514 nucleotides) under uncultured bacterium. Its description in RNAcentral is "bacterial SSU rRNA". It matches the Rfam family "Bacterial small subunit ribosomal RNA", at positions 32 to 507 of the family's 1533-position model. The record is from RNAcentral.